UUGCAUAAAGCAAGGAUAGGUGCCUACACAGGCAUAAUAGAGAAGACCGGUGCAAUACCGGCGCGGUCACGCCACUGUAAUGGGGAGCGAACUCAAAAAAUACCACUGGAAUGAAUGUUCUGGGAAGGUUUGAGUAAGCAAAGAGCCAAAGCCAGGAGAACUGCCUAUCUGAUAAUCACCGU
Molecule: non-coding RNA, 182 nt
Filed under: Sporomusa sphaeroides
Lineage: Bacteria; Bacillati; Bacillota; Negativicutes; Selenomonadales; Sporomusaceae
Also listed under: 1 other name
Source: RNAcentral